UGAAGUUGACGUGAACUUGACGCAGCACCAAGCAUUUCCAUCCAAAUUUCAGUGGAAAUUCCAAGCAAAGCAGGCCGGAGGGGAGGCACGGCAGCACCAACCUUGGGAAGAGCAACUGUGAGUGUGGGGAACCUUAAACGUGGAAAAGAACUGUGGGGAAAAUGAAGAUACAUAGCAAAAACUGAAUGCGUGGUGGCCUUCCCAUUGAUGGGAAUUUCUCUCCCCUAACUGCACGCUGGCAGCUCCGUGCAACACAAGCAGGGAUGUGAACCACAGGACAUUUCCUCAUCCAAGUCCGUUCUGGAAGGGCAGUAUUUCACCGAGAGAGAGAACAUGCGCGUUGCAAGUGCAAAGAGAAGCGUAAGACCCUCUAAAUGUCUGGCCCCAGGCAAUCUGUUUCCUUUCACAGGGCUGCUCUUGAAGCAGGUCUGCAAGGACUUAUCGCUUCCAUCUGCGCCGCAGAGACAAGGGCACUGUUCUCACCCCAGUUCCAUACAGACAUCCCAGAAAUGCCGACAGCCACCACGGCCCCGGAACAGAAUAUUCCUGCACGUCUCAGCAAGUUUCCCAAGCUGCACAUGUGGGGACGUGCCGCCACACACACCCCCUGUGCAGGAGGCUCCUGGGAACCCAACCAUGCAUAUCGGUGGUAGCACACAAAUGCUGCCCAGCCCCUUCCAGGAGCACCUGGAGAUGUUUCCAGAAGGCUCUGCACGGACACGGCAUGCUGCUCGACCAAACCUGCCUGUUGUGAAGCGGAUUGCUAACGCAAGCCAAGUUCAUGGAAGGAGAAGCACUUAUUUAGUGCAAUUUAGCAGUCACCUGUGUACCUGGGAAAUCUGCUCGGUGCUAAAGGUUUGUCUGAGCCCUGGUUCUGCGGGAAUAAAUGAGGACACGUGCUGGGCAAGAGCAGCAAGAGGCAACCAGACCUGUGCUGAGCUAACCCUCCUUCCACCCAGUGCCCAAGAAAUGUAUCUGUGA
This 981-nucleotide long non-coding RNA is filed under the name Numida meleagris (helmeted guineafowl). RNAcentral describes it as "lncRNA (ENSNMEG00000016637.1)". The record is from RNAcentral. Lineage: Eukaryota; Metazoa; Chordata; Aves; Galliformes; Numididae.